GGGUGGUGUAGUGGGAGUUCGUCCGUCGGGGAAAUUCGGUCAGCACUGUGGGAAUCCGGCUGUUGGAGAAGUCCGAGGAGAUACCAUCUACGGUCGAAAGCCGGAGGAGUCUCGGGAGGGUCAAUCCUGUUAAGAACUUCGGCUGAGGGUUUUUUAUACCCAACAAAACCCUUUGCCACAACCUAGCUUUGUAGGUUCUACUUGGCCAUCUGCUCUGAUC
RNAcentral lists this long non-coding RNA (220 nucleotides) under Elaeis guineensis (African oil palm). Its description in RNAcentral is "long non-coding RNA (EGUI_LNC056795)". The record is from RNAcentral. Lineage: Eukaryota; Viridiplantae; Streptophyta; Magnoliopsida; Arecales; Arecaceae.